This is a non-coding RNA of Salmo salar (Atlantic salmon), 54 nucleotides long. Lineage: Eukaryota; Metazoa; Chordata; Actinopteri; Salmoniformes; Salmonidae. The record is from Rfam.
UGCAUUCUCUACUGUAAGUCGCUCUGGAUAAGAGCUUCUGCUAAAUGACUAAAA